CUUCAAAGAAAUGUUGAAACUAAUAAGUAGGUCUCCGCUUGUAACUAUUACAGUUUUUGUCACCCUAAUUGCUCUCUUCAUCGCUUUCAGAUUUCCUCUCAAGUCCUACAACUUUUCUCUUCGACAACAGAGAUUGUUUACAGCAGAAGAACUUGCUUUGUACAAUGGGACUGAUGAAAACUUACCUAUUCUUUUAGGAAUCCUUGGUUCUGUGUUUGAUGUAACUAGAGGAAAAUCUCAUUAUGGCAUGGGAGGUGGUUACAAUCAUUUUGCAGGAAGGUCAGUUGCUGUUUUUUCCCCCUUAAAAUUUGAUUUCCUGCGAAACACCCUCACUGCAAAGCAGGAUAAGGCUGCGUUUAUGAACUCUCCCUGGAGCCCCACAAGUGUGGAAUGGUUGGUGUACUGAUCACCAUUUCCUAAAAUUUAAUUUCUGUUUUUCUGCUUGUUCAAACGUAGUGGUUUUCUCUUGCAUCCAACAUGUUAAAUUAUAGGUUAAAUUGCUUUUGAUUUGUAAAUCAACCAUCUUAACACUGAAUAUGUAGCUUGAAAUACUAAAGUAUUCUUCAAGUCACCGUGAACAUGAAAAUCAGCCAUGUUCUUUUACCUUUUUAGCCUAUUGUUUUAUUUCCAAGCGUUGAGCAAUAUACACUUGGUUUUGUUCCUUUUCUUUGCUGUGAUUGAUCCAUCUUUUACUUCAAUUUUAGCUUUUUGUUAGGGGCUUUUGAAUGCUUGAGUUAACAAUACCAAAGGUCAAAAAUUGUAGAUUUAUUCAAAGCUCAGUGUUCGAAAUACAUUAAAAUUUCAUGGUCAAAGUGGAUUUUAUUGACUAAUUAAGUGAUCUAUGGCACAAUUACCCACAGUUGAAUUUAAUUCCAUGCUUUUUUAUGCAUUUAAACUCAUAAAUCAUAUUGUUUAUUGAAUUUCAGCUGAAGUCAUUUAUUUAAUGCAAUUUUCUGUUCUUAAAAUGGAUGUUGCAACUAGCGAGAUUUUAAAUUACAACUGCAAUGGCCUGCAACAUAUGACUGCAACUCCAAUUGUGGUCAGUCAUGGCUCAGAGUUAAAUCUACGGACCCAUAUUACUAGUAUUUGGAAUUAGUUUGUUGGCAUUGUCAUUGUUUUCCUCAUCAUUAUCAUGACUUCUAUUCGGAUUGGAAUAUUUGAGAAUCUCCUGCAAACUACAUUGAUCAAUAGUUUAUGGCAAUUAAUCUUGCAUAUUCUUUGUUUUUAAUGUGCAGUCUCUACUGAUUUCUGUACCCAUAUGACAAUUGGCAUCUAAUAGUACCUAAAUUACCAAUUUUAAUUUUUUUACAUGACUAUUUGGUUUGUAGAAGGCCAUUGAGCUAUACAUAUAGCAAUUAAUUGUAUUUUUCUCCUCCUUUUAUUUGAUUAUUCUCUACAUAUAUCUCCAGACUCAUUACUGAC
This 1422-nucleotide unclassified non-coding RNA is filed under the name Hevea brasiliensis (rubber tree). Lineage: Eukaryota; Viridiplantae; Streptophyta; Magnoliopsida; Malpighiales; Euphorbiaceae. The record is from RNAcentral.